This 349-nucleotide ribosomal RNA is filed under the name uncultured Frankia sp. RNAcentral describes it as "bacterial SSU rRNA". It matches the Rfam family "Bacterial small subunit ribosomal RNA", at positions 57 to 416 of the family's 1533-position model. Lineage: Bacteria; Bacillati; Actinomycetota; Actinomycetes; Frankiales; Frankiaceae. The record is from RNAcentral.
GCAAGUCGAGCGAGGGGCUUCGGCUCCUAGCGGCGAACGGGUGAGUAACACGUGGGCAACCUGCCCCGAGCUCUGGAAUAACUUCGGGAAACCGGGGCUAAUGCCGGAUAUGACACUGCCGGGCAUCUGGUGGUGUGGAAAGAUUUAUCGGCUCGGGAUGGGCCCGCGGCCUAUCAGCUUGUUGGUGGGGUGAUGGCCUACCAAGGCGACGACGGGUAGCCGGCCUGAGAGGGCGACCGGCCACACUGGGACUGAGACACGGCCCAGACUCCUACGGGAGGCAGCAGUGGGGAAUAUUGCGCAAUGGGCGAAAGCCUGACGCAGCGACGCCCCGUGGGGGAUGACGGCC